RNAcentral lists this long non-coding RNA (210 nucleotides) under Vigna radiata. RNAcentral describes it as "long non-coding RNA (VRAD_LNC015801)". The record is from RNAcentral. Lineage: Eukaryota; Viridiplantae; Streptophyta; Magnoliopsida; Fabales; Fabaceae.
AGAGGAAGAAGGGAAAGAAGAAAAGAUCACAUAAAAAACCCCUUUCUCAUCAAAAGAAGUAUCAUAAGAAGAAAACGAAAUUCAAGUGCUUUAUGGAGAUCUUCAAGAAAUUGGAGAUCAAAGUUCCUAUGAUGGAGACAUGGAAACAGGUGCUUGGUGUUAUCAACUUUCUGAAGAGAUUCAGCAGGAAGAAGAAAAAGAAAAGAACAU